This is a long non-coding RNA of Apis florea (little honeybee), 688 nucleotides long. RefSeq lists it as uncharacterized. The record is from RefSeq and is a predicted model, not a curated record. Lineage: Eukaryota; Metazoa; Arthropoda; Insecta; Hymenoptera; Apidae.
AUCUCGACCUCCUUGCAAAUCGCAUCACAGAUCAAACACGGCUUGUAUAUUAAACGUAACCUGCUAAGGCAUCCUGUCGACUGCUUAUCUACUGUCCAUGUUUGACGAUCGUGUCUUGGCUUCAACGAUGUUUUCCAAAUGUUUUCGAAACGAAAUUUUCGCAUCAAUACUUUUGCAAGCAGUAGCUACUGGUGUUUGAUAUCUCAAUAUACGUAACAGAGUAAUGGGAAUGCACACGCAUUAGUUCUGUUCCUGAAACGUAGUCAAGGAUGCAAAAUUGAACUUUCUACGAAUAUACGCUCCAGUAGAGAACAUGUGACGAAAGCGUUUACCGCAUUAAUAAGAUCUAUUGAAAGAUCGUGUAGUGAAUUUGCAUGCAUACGAUUCGAGACUUAAAUAUAUUAUUAUUAACAAAAAAAAUUGGAAAAUAAUUUUGAUUUUUACGGUAUUAUGAUCGAUUGACUUAGUUAAAAUAAUUUGAUUAGCAAAGAAUUUGCGAAUUAAAGGAUUAAAAUUAAAGGAUAUGCAAUUUACGCACUCUAUAAAUUUUGAGGUUAAAUAAAUAAUACAACAGACAUCCACAUAUCCAUAAACGAAGACUCACCUGACUCAAAGGACGAAUCCUUUCAUGAAUAGAUUUCUCAGCUUGCAUAGCAGAAGGUGGUGGAUGAUCAGGCGUCGGAGGUUG